AGUGAACGCUGGCGGUAGGCCUAACACAUGCAAGUCGAACGGCAGCACAGUAAGAGCUUGCUCUUACGGGUGGCGAGUGGCGGACGGGUGAGGAAUACAUCGGAAUCUACUUUUUCGUGGGGGAUAACGUAGGGAAACUUACGCUAAUACCGCAUACGACAUACGGGAGAAAGCAGGGGAUCUUCGGACCUUGCGCGAUUCAAUGAGCCGAUGUCGGAUUAGCUAGUUGGCGGGGUAAAGGCCCACCAAGGCGACGAUCCGUAGCUGGUCUGUGAGAAUGAUCGGCCGCACUGGAAGUGAGACAGGGUCCAGACUCCUAAGGGAGGCACCAGUCGGGAAUAUUGGUCAAUGGGCGCAAACCUGAUCCAGCCAUACCGAGUGAGUGAAGAAGGCCUUCGGGUUGUAAAGCCCUUCUGUUGGGAAAGAAAAGCAGCAGGUUAAUACCCAGCUGUUCUGACGGUACCCAGUGAAUAAGCACCGGCUAACUUCGUG
RNAcentral lists this ribosomal RNA (492 nucleotides) under uncultured bacterium. Its description in RNAcentral is "partial 16S ribosomal RNA". It matches the Rfam family "Bacterial small subunit ribosomal RNA", at positions 29 to 507 of the family's 1533-position model. The record is from RNAcentral.